AGAACUGGGAGUCUGGUCCUUUGCAGCACUCUGAGGAGAUUUUCCACCCUUCUUCAUAGGGUGGGGAGUUGCUAUAUGCACACCUUUUUUACCAUCUACAAAACAUUAAUUCCAUCAAACAGAUCAGAUCAAAAGCAUAAUUUGAACAGUGUUGUUUGCUCCAAUAUAUUGUCUGCUGUUUUGCUCAAUCUUCUAUCAUCAUAAACUCAUUCUUUUUUAUCUCAACACACUAACCCCUAAACUAUAUCCUAUUUCCCAAAUCUCAUCUAGAAAACCCCUAUGAUCAGAUGUAAUUUGCAAUACAAUAAGAACAUAUAUUCUACUCUAUUUCAUCUUAUUUUAAGCUAUAUUAGGGUUUAAGAAAUUGGUUUUUAAUUUUUUUCGUUUGAUUAUUGAUGGUAGUUGUGACCAUAUAUGUUUUCUUUCUCUAUUUUUUCCAGUUACUGCUCUGGAUCAACCGUUCAGGAACAAAAUUGUAAAAGGCAAAGUCUCCAAAAUAGUUCAUAGAACCAUGUUCGCUGGUCUUUCUUCUCUUCCUGUUAACAUGAACAAGAAGAUGAAGAAGAAAGACGAGAAGAAGAGAAUGGGUGUAAUCCAGAUUUCCGUUAAUGUUUCAAGCUACGAAGAAUUUCAUAGUUUGCUUGAUCAGUAUGUGACUUAGGGAGGUGCACCAAUCUCUUUCAACAUAUCCGAAGAUGUGGAUUCGCCGUCCUACGAUAAAAUUCUGAAGGAACUAAUAGCUAGCAUCAUAAAGUAGGGACGGCGUGACAAAAUUCAACAUCCAAGAUAUCACACCCCAUUGCCGAUCGUGCCUUGUUGCACCCCAGAGGUGAUGAAAAAUCUUUACAAUGAUAUUGGCUCCUUUUGGACGGUCAUUAUUGGUACUGAGUGGGGUUUGCCUGAAGGCACAAGGAGGAAACUACUGACUGAGAUGCACAGAUUUCAGUCAGAGGCUGGGAUUAGGACAGCAGUUAUUGAUUCAUGACGAACAACUAUAUAUACUUGUUGCCUUGCUUAAAGACUAUAGUACUACUUAGUUUCUUUUCAUUUUGCAACUUAUUUCUAUGUGUGAACGCUUUACUACUCUGUGUGAUAAUUAUUGAUCUUUCAGCUA
Long non-coding RNA from Medicago truncatula (barrel medic), 1114 nucleotides. RefSeq lists it as uncharacterized. The record is from RefSeq and is a predicted model, not a curated record. The transcript is spliced from 3 exons. Lineage: Eukaryota; Viridiplantae; Streptophyta; Magnoliopsida; Fabales; Fabaceae.